UACGUAGGCGGACGUAAAGGCGUCUUGUGAAAUCCCUCGGCUCAACCGAGGAAUUGCUCGACGAACCAUAUGUCUUGAGGCAGGUAGGGGUUGUCGGAACGAUAGGUGGAGUGGUGAAAUGCGUUGAUAUCUAUCGGAACGCCGAAGGAGAAAUCAGACAGCUGGGCCUGUCCUGACGCUGAGGUACGAAAGCGUGGGGAGCGAACAGGAUUAGAUACCCUGGUAGUCC
This 229-nucleotide ribosomal RNA is filed under the name uncultured bacterium. RNAcentral describes it as "partial 16S ribosomal RNA". It matches the Rfam family "Bacterial small subunit ribosomal RNA", at positions 568 to 796 of the family's 1533-position model. The record is from RNAcentral.